RNAcentral lists this ribosomal RNA (116 nucleotides) under Gammaproteobacteria bacterium. Lineage: Bacteria; Pseudomonadati; Pseudomonadota; Gammaproteobacteria. The record is from RNAcentral.
CCUGACGACCAUAGCGGGCUGGUCCCACCUGAUCCCAUUCCGAACUCAGAAGUGAAACGGCCCUGCGCCGAUGGUAGUGUGGGGUUUCCCCAUGUGAGAGUAGGACAUCGUCAGGC